CGUAGGUGGCAAGCGUUGUCCGGAUUUAUUGGGUUUAAAGGGUGCGUAGGCGGUCUUGUAAGUCAGUGGUGAAAUACGGCAGCUUAACUGUCGAGGUGCCAUUGAUACUGCAGGACUUGAGUACAGACGAGGUAGGCGGAAUUGACGGUGUAGCGGUGAAAUGCUUAGAUAUCGUCAAGAACACCGAUAGCGAAGGCAGCUUACUAGACUGUAACUGACGCUGAUGCACGAAAGUGUGGGGAUCAAACAGGAUUAGAUACCCUGGUAGUCCACACUGUAAACGAUGAUUACUCGAUGUUAGCGAUAUACUGUUAGCGUCUUAGCGAAAGCGAUAAGUAAUCCACCUGGGGAGUACGCCGGCAACGGUG
This 368-nucleotide ribosomal RNA is filed under the name uncultured organism. RNAcentral describes it as "bacterial SSU rRNA". It matches the Rfam family "Bacterial small subunit ribosomal RNA", at positions 526 to 896 of the family's 1533-position model. The record is from RNAcentral.